Molecule: ribosomal RNA, 780 nt
Filed under: Acusta redfieldi
Lineage: Eukaryota; Metazoa; Mollusca; Gastropoda; Stylommatophora; Camaenidae
Description: partial large subunit ribosomal RNA
Source: RNAcentral
CGAACUAGUUUGAGCUAAAUAGCCGAGGUUAUUAGGCUAAUGAUGUGCGUUGUAUAGCACAAUUUAAAGGGUUAUUUAGGGGUGAAAGGCCUCCCAAAAACUAAGAUAUCUUGAUACCAUAAAAAUGUAUUUAGUACUCUUUAGGCAAAUAUAAAAUGGUUAGGUUUUAUAUAUUUAUAAUAUUUAUUUUAUAGCAAUAAUGAUAUAAUCAUCUAUUACCUUAUAAGACUAUUAUUUUAAUUUAAGUUAUGUAUAUUAUACGUGGUACUGCCUAAAUUUAAAUCGCCAUUGAUAAUGUUUUCAUAAGUACUGUUGUUAGACCUAGAUAAUGAACUCGGCAAGAUUUUCUUCAACUGUUUAUCAAAAACAUAACUAUAUGAAUGUUUAUAUAGCUACGUCUGCUCAAUGUUCCCAUAAAUAGCCGCAGUACUUUGACUGUGCAAAGGUAGCAUAAUCAAUUGACUUAUAAUUGAAGUCUGGAAUGAAAGAAUCUAUGGGGAAAUACUGUUUCAUUUUGGUAUGUGGAAAUUAUUUAUUAGGUGAAAAAACCUAUAAAUAAAUAAUAGACGAGAAGACCCUUGAAAUUUUAAUUAAACAGGUAAAGAUAUCUUUUUGUUGGGGCGACAAAGUAGCAAUAGAGAAACCUACUUUAAAGAAUAUGUAUUAUUUUAAAAGAUUAAAUAAAUUACUCUAGGGAUAACAGCAUAAUAUUUAAAAGUUUGUGACCUCGAUGUUGGACUAGGAAACUAUAGUUUAGAAGACUAUUAUAAAGGCUCUGUU